UAACGCGUAUGCAAUCUACCCUUUACUGGAGAAUAGCCCGGAGAAAUUCGGAUUAAUGCUCCAUAUGCUCGUAGGAUCUCCUGAUCCAGCGAGGAAAGCUCCGGCGGUAAAGGAUGAGCAUGCGUCCCAUUAGCUUGUUGGUGAGGUAACGGCUCACCAAGGCGACGAUGGGUAGGGGGCCUGAGAGGGCGAUCCCCCACACUGGUACUGAGACACGGACCAGACUCC
This 228-nucleotide ribosomal RNA is filed under the name uncultured bacterium. RNAcentral describes it as "partial 16S ribosomal RNA". It matches the Rfam family "Bacterial small subunit ribosomal RNA", at positions 111 to 339 of the family's 1533-position model. The record is from RNAcentral.